AGAUAACAAAAUUCAUUCUGCACAUGGUCAUGAAAAUACAGGGAACACUGGAUGGAUGGAUGGAUGGAUAGAGGGGGUACAUAAGGAAGGCUGGAUAGUUAGACAAUGGGUUCUGUGGAUGGAUGGAUGGCUAGAGGGGGUACACGAGGAAGGUUGGAUGGCUAGACAAGGGUUCUGUGGGUGGAUGGAUGGAUGGAUAGAGGGGGUACACGAGGAAGGCUGGAUGGCCAGACAGGGGUUCUGUGAGUGGAUGGGUGGAUAGAAGGGGUACAUGAGGAGGGUUGGAUGGCCAGACGGGUUCUGUGGGUGGAUGGAUGGAUGGAUAGAGGGGGUACAUGAGGAACGCUGGAUGGCCAGAUGGGUUCUGUGGGUGGAUGGGUGGAUAGACGGGGUACAUGAGGAAGGCUGGAUGGCCAGACAGGGGUUCUGUGGAUGGAUGGAUGGAUAGAUAGAGGGGGUACAUGAGUAAGGUUGGAUGGCCAGAUGGGUUCUGUGGAUGCAUGGAUGGAUGGAUAGACGGGGUACACGAGGUUGGAUGGCCAGACAAGGGUUCUGUGGGUGGAUGAGUGGAUAGAGGGGGUACAUGAGGAAGGUUGGAUGGCCAGAUGGGUUCUGUGGGUGGGUGGGUGGGUGGAUGGAUGGAUGGCUAGAGGCGGCACACAAGGAAGGUUGGAUGGCUAGACAGGGGUUCUGUGGGUGGAUGGGUGGAUAGAGGGGUUACAUGAGGGAGGUUGGAUGGGUAGACAGAUUCUGUGGGUGGAUGAGUGGGUGGGUUUAUGGAGAUAGAUAUUUUAUUCGGGCUGAUCAGGCCCGGAGACCCUUCGUGCCCAGGGCCGGUCCCGUCCAAAG
Gopherus flavomarginatus (Mexican gopher tortoise) is the source of this 849-nucleotide long non-coding RNA. RefSeq lists it as uncharacterized. The record is from RefSeq and is a predicted model, not a curated record. The transcript is spliced from 4 exons. Lineage: Eukaryota; Metazoa; Chordata; Testudines; Testudinidae.